GAUGAAGAACGUAGUGAAAUGCGAUAAGUAAUGUGAAUUGCAGAAUUCAGUGAAUCAUCGAAUCUUUGAACGCACAUUGCGCCCGCGAGUAUUCUCGCGGGCAUGCCUGUCCGAGCGUCAUUUCAACCCUCAGGGCCCGCCUGCUUGCAGGCGCGGCGCUGGUGUUGGGGAUCGGCUACCCUGCCGUCCCCCAAAUACAGUGGCGGUCUCGCUGCAGCCUCCCCUGCGUAGUAGCAACACUCGCAUGCGGAGCGCGGCGCGGCCACGCCGUAAAACCCCCGACUUUCUGAACGUUGACCUCGGAUCAGGUAGGAAUACCCGCUGAACUUAAGCAUAUCAAUAAGCGGAGGA
This 351-nucleotide unclassified non-coding RNA is filed under the name soil metagenome. Its description in RNAcentral is "partial contains 5.8S ribosomal RNA, internal transcribed spacer 2, and large subunit ribosomal RNA". The stretch from base 1 to 120 matches the Rfam family "5.8S ribosomal RNA", at positions 35 to 154 of the family's 154-position model. The record is from RNAcentral.